Molecule: ribosomal RNA, 253 nt
Filed under: uncultured bacterium
Lineage: Bacteria
Description: partial 16S ribosomal RNA
Rfam family: Bacterial small subunit ribosomal RNA
Source: RNAcentral
UACGGGGGGUGCGAGCGUUGUCCGGAUUCACUGGGCGUAAAGGGCGCGUAGGCGGCCGGGUCAGUCGGGCCUGUAAGUGCGGGGCUCAACCCCGUGAUGGGCUCGGGACGGCCGGGCUGGGGCGCGGUCGAGGGAGACGGAAUGCCGGGUGUAGUGGUGAAAUGCGUAGAGAUCCGGCGGAACACCGGUGGUGAAGACGGUCUCCUGGGCCGAGGGCCGACGCUGAGGCGCGAGAGCGUGGGGAGCGAACCGG